RNAcentral lists this ribosomal RNA (405 nucleotides) under grassland soil clone sl2_502. Its description in RNAcentral is "bacterial SSU rRNA". It matches the Rfam family "Bacterial small subunit ribosomal RNA", at positions 45 to 494 of the family's 1533-position model. The record is from RNAcentral.
GGCCUCAAACAUGCAAGUCUAGGGGUUGUAGCAAUACAUCACCGGCGGACGGGUGCGUAACGCGUGGGAAUGUACCUAUUGGUUCGGAACAACUGAGGGAAACUUCAGCUAAUACCGGAUGAGCCCGAAAGGGGAAAGAUUUCUCGCCAAUAGAUCAGCCCGCGUCCGAUUAGCUAGUUGGUGGGGUUAAAGCCUACCAAGGCGACGAUCGGUAGCUGUUCUGAGAGGAAGAUCAGCCACACUGGGACUGAGACACGGCCCAGACUCCUACGGGAGGCAGCAGUUGGGAAUCUUGGACAAUGGGGGAAACCCUGAUCCAGCCAUGCCGCGUGAGUGAUGAAGGCCUUCGGGUUGUAAAACUCUUUCGACGGGGACGAUAAUGACGGUACCCGGAGAAGAAGCUCC